CGCCAGCGCCAUACCACCGAAAAAUGAAAUGUGCCUUGGUUAAAAAUAUGCAACGAUUUUAUUAGUUUUGGGCUUUCACAGUCGAUUUAAAUUUUAGUAUUACGAGUAUAAAUAAUCAAACGUAAAUGUAUUGGAAUGUUUCAGUUUUACAAUCAAUGAAAUCUUAUAAAGAACGAACCGUAUAGGUAUACCUACUUAUCAUGAGUAAUUGAGUAUCGAGCUUAACAGCAUUUUGAUGUUUUGAAUAGUGACGUCAUUGUUUUAUAAAUAAUUAGUGUUUUAAUAAAAAUAUUUACUUAAACUUAUAGAAUGUUUAAAUUAAAAAUUCAAUCAGCCCAUGAAUCUGAAGAUUUUGUUAGCCCCCUUUAUGCUAUUCAAUUUCAAAUUGAUUCUGAAAAUUUUCCAAAUUGAAAUAUUCUGUGAAAAAGGUGCUAAAGUUCCUCUUCAAUCUUUAUUCAACAAAACAAUUUGUAGACUCUUGAAAAUAGUAACAGUUCCUCAAUCCAUUCUACCCCAAAUCGAGAUGUCUUUGCCGCCACCCUCCAAAAAUGGAGAUCAUCUCCAAUCAAACAAAAUCAGUGACGACAGCGACGAUGAUACAAAUACCAGUUCAACAAGGAGUUCAGAUGACAAUCUACGCCGCUGCAAAAUAAUAUUUGAUGGAUUACAAAAGAUAAAAACUAACAACUAGGGAGCCCCUUUCCAAACUACCUGAAAAUUAUCAAAGAAGAAUUAAAAGAACUACAGAAUUUAAAAGAAAAGUAUCAAGCAAAAUUAAUUGACUGUGAAUUGGAUAAUAAUGUUAAUCUGGAAGAACAAAACAAAUUUCUGCAAAUAUACAAAUACCUUUGUAAUUGAUUAA
Molecule: long non-coding RNA, 862 nt
Organism: Planococcus citri (citrus mealybug)
Lineage: Eukaryota; Metazoa; Arthropoda; Insecta; Hemiptera; Pseudococcidae
Exons: 3
Source: RefSeq, a predicted model, not a curated record